CAGGAAGUGGGAGCCACAUACCCCGAGCUGGCGGCUUGAGCCUGUGGUAUCUAGGCUCACCUCACUGCGGUUGGUGGAGGUGAUGGAGGUUGCAGCUUGGCCAGCAUGGUAGAAAGGUGGCAGGGCACGUCUGGCUUUUACCACCCAGUUGCUUCGAGCCAGGAGAUGGAGGAGUCAUCUGUUGCACGCUGGAGGCUGGAGCCUGCAGAUGGCAUGGUUCUGUGGCUCACCUCGCUGCAGUUGGUGGCAGAGACAGAGACUGCAGCUUGACCAGAGUGGUGGAGUGAUAUGUAUCUCAAGAGCACUCCACAACAAAGAUUCUGCCUGCAAUCCUCCACUUCAAGGUCUGUUCCAGGAAACCUGUGUAACACAGUUAUGCAUAGAGUGGUCUUAGGAAGCUGACUCUAACAUGAAAAUUUAGAGUUGGAUCUUUUGCUGACAUAUUGAAUAUUCAUAAGAGCAUAUGAUACAUUUGUCUAUCAUAAACAUGUCAUUUCAAAAAACCCUCAAAGUUGCCUUGUAGAACAUAAUUUUAAAACUAGUGUGUAGGAAUAUUUCAUAUCAGUUAUUCAGUCUUCUUAAUAUCUGAACCGAAAUUAAUCUUCCAUUCUGCUUUUAUUUAUAAAUAAUGAUUUAUUGUCAGAUUCAAUAAUUUAUAUUUUCAUUUAUUCUAAGGUAGGAAAUACCAGCAUAAAAAUAAAUUAUUUGAAACAAAUCACAUUGUUGUCCCAUU
This 733-nucleotide long non-coding RNA is filed under the name Homo sapiens (human). RNAcentral describes it as "non-protein coding LINC00408:4". The record is from RNAcentral. Lineage: Eukaryota; Metazoa; Chordata; Mammalia; Primates; Hominidae.